AUUGAACGCUGGCGGCAUGCCUUACACAUGCAAGUCGAACGGCAGCACGGGUGCUUGCACCUGGUGGCGAGUGGCGAACGGGUGAGUAAUACAUCGGAACGUACCUUAUCGUGGGGGAUAACGCAGCGAAAGCUGUGCUAAUACCGCAUACGCCCUGAGGGGGAAAGCGGGGGAUCGCAAGACCUCGCGCGAUUAGAGCGGCCGAUGCCUGAUUAGCUUGUUGGUGGGGUAAAAGCCCACCAAGGCGACGAGCAGUAGCUGUCCUGAGAGGACGAUCAGGCGCACUGGGACUGGGACACGGCCCAGACUCCUACGGGAGGCAGCAGUGGGGAAUUUUUGACAAUGGGGGCAACCCUGAUCCAGCAAUGCCGCGUGAGUGAAGCAGGCCUUCGGGUUGUAAAGCUCUUUUGUCAGGGAAGAAACACCGGCUCUAACACAGUCCGGGAAUGACGGUACCUGAAGAAUAAGCACCGGCUAACUACGUGCCAGCAGCCGCGGUAA
This 501-nucleotide ribosomal RNA is filed under the name uncultured bacterium. RNAcentral describes it as "partial 16S ribosomal RNA". It matches the Rfam family "Bacterial small subunit ribosomal RNA", at positions 29 to 523 of the family's 1533-position model. The record is from RNAcentral.